GGGUGCGAUCAUACCAGCGUUAAUGCACCAGAUCCCAUCAGAACUCUGCAAUUAAGCAUGCUUGGGAUAGAGUUGUACAGGGAUGGGUGACCUCCCGGGAAGUGCUAGUGUUGCAACCU
Molecule: non-coding RNA, 119 nt
Organism: Picea glauca (white spruce)
Lineage: Eukaryota; Viridiplantae; Streptophyta; Pinopsida; Pinales; Pinaceae
Source: Rfam